UGCCAAUCAAAGACUCCCAGGAAACCUUCC
RNAcentral lists this non-coding RNA (30 nucleotides) under Mus musculus (house mouse). Lineage: Eukaryota; Metazoa; Chordata; Mammalia; Rodentia; Muridae. The record is from RNAcentral.